UGCUGGACCCGACCGCAAGUCUCUGUUUCUCUGGCAGUUUACGGAAAUUUCAAGGUGAGAACCAUAGUCAUGGCUUGGGAGUGGCUGCCCACUUGUGCCAGGGCCCCACCCAGAGGCUGGGACCUGACCUAAGACUGAUGUGUCUGCGACCUGAGGCGGCACAUCCUGGGAUCACAGGGCCAGCCCACUGGCGCUCAUUUGCUCAGAGGGUCUCAGCCCCCGGGGUCUGUCCUCCCCUGGCUCCUUCCACCUGGGUCCCAUGAGGGCUCCAGAGCCCAGGACCCAGCAUCCACAGGCCACGGGCCACUCGGGGAAGCAUGGCAGCUCCACUGACUCCAACACUCCUCAUGUGACACAAACGUGGCAGGAGAUGAGACACAUGGAGAAGUGGCUGAAGAUGCUGGGAGAGUGGCAGAAACCUAGGAAGAGCAAGAAGAAGUGCUGACUGUGGCAUGACUGCCAUUGGGGCGAGAGCCUUUCAUCUGUUCUGAGGCCGCUUCCUCUCCUGGCCUCACCCUACCAGCCGUGAAGGAAAAGGCUUUCUCGACCAUAUCCACCAGAUCGACGUGGAUGUGAGCCGGACGCUGAGGGGUCACACAAUGUUUAGGAAAUGAUAUGGCAUCAGGUAAGUCUGUGGGGGCCACGGGGUCCCAGCAGAGAUGUGGUAAACCAGAGGGAUGGGGACUUCCCCAGAAAAAAAGCCAG
Molecule: long non-coding RNA, 705 nt
Filed under: Aotus nancymaae (Ma's night monkey)
Lineage: Eukaryota; Metazoa; Chordata; Mammalia; Primates; Aotidae
Description: lncRNA (ENSANAG00000039179.1)
Source: RNAcentral